RNAcentral lists this ribosomal RNA (402 nucleotides) under uncultured bacterium. Its description in RNAcentral is "bacterial SSU rRNA". It matches the Rfam family "Bacterial small subunit ribosomal RNA", at positions 355 to 774 of the family's 1533-position model. The record is from RNAcentral.
UGGGGAAUCUUGCACAAUGGGGGAAACCCUGAUGCAGCGACGCCGCGUGAACGAUGAAGCCCUUCGGGGUGUAAAGUUCUUUCGACAGGAACGAUAAUGACGGUACCUGGAGAAGAAGCUGCGGCUAACUACGUGCCAGCAGCCGCGGUAAUACGUAGGCAGCGAGCGUUGUUCGGAGUUACUGGGCGUAAAGAGUGCGUAGGCGGCGAGCCAAGUUUGGUGUGAAAUCUCCCGGCUUAACCGGGAGGGUGCGCCGAAAACUGGUUGGCUGGAGUAUGGGAGAGGAAAGCGGAAUUCCUGGUGUAGCGGUGAAAUGCGUAGAUAUGAGGAGGAACACCUGCGGUGUAGACAGCUUUCUGGACCAAAACUGACGCUGAGGCACGAAAGCGUGGGUAGCAAACA